Molecule: ribosomal RNA, 873 nt
Filed under: Bacteroides fragilis str. 3986 T(B)9
Lineage: Bacteria; Pseudomonadati; Bacteroidota; Bacteroidia; Bacteroidales; Bacteroidaceae
Description: bacterial SSU rRNA
Rfam family: Bacterial small subunit ribosomal RNA
Source: RNAcentral
AGAGUUUGAUCCUGGCUCAGGAUGAACGCUAGCUACAGGCUUAACACAUGCAAGUCGAGGGGCAUCGGGAAGAAAGCUUGCUUUCUUUGCCGGCGACCGGCGCACGGGUGAGUAACACGUAUCCAACCUGCCCUUUACUCGGGGAUAGCCUUUCGAAAGAAAGAUUAAUACCCGAUAGCAUAAUGAUUCCGCAUGGUUUCAUUAUUAAAGGAUUCCGGUAAAGGAUGGGGAUGCGUUCCAUUAGGUUGUUGGUGAGGUAACGGCCCACCAAGCCUUCGAUGGAUAGGGGUUCUGAGAGGAAGGUCCCCCACAUUGGAACUGAGACACGGUCCAAACUCCUACGGGAGGCAGCAGUGAGGAAUAUUGGUCAAUGGGCGCUAGCCUGAACCAGCCAAGUAGCGUGAAGGAUGAAGGCUCUAUGGGUCGUAAACUUCUUUUAUAUAAGAAUAAAGUGCAGUAUGUAUACUGUUUUGUAUGUAUUAUAUGAAUAAGGAUCGGCUAACUCCGUGCCAGCAGCCGCGGUAAUACGGAGGAUCCGAGCGUUAUCCGGAUUUAUUGGGUUUAAAGGGAGCGUAGGUGGACUGGUAAGUCAGUUGUGAAAGUUUGCGGCUCAACCGUAAAAUUGCAGUUGAUACUGUCAGUCUUGAGUACAGUAGAGGUGGGCGGAAUUCGUGGUGUAGCGGUGAAAUGCUUAGAUAUCACGAAGAACUCCGAUUGCGAAGGCAGCUCACUGGACUGCAACUGACACUGAUGCUCGAAAGUGUGGGUAUCAAACAGGAUUAGAUACCCUGGUAGUCCACACAGUAAACGAUGAAUACUCGCUGUUUGCGAUAUACAGUAAGCGGCCAAGCGAAAGCAUUAAGUAUUCCACCU